This 327-nucleotide long non-coding RNA is filed under the name Heterocephalus glaber (naked mole-rat). RNAcentral's name for it is "lncRNA (ENSHGLG00100042535.1)". Lineage: Eukaryota; Metazoa; Chordata; Mammalia; Rodentia; Bathyergidae. The record is from RNAcentral.
CUGUUGGUUGUCAUGGCAGCAUGUGGAACAGAGGAGUCACCAGCAGCCUCUCUAGCCAGCUGACCAUGGUGGGGAUACCAGCCACCCCAAAAUCUGCUGACUGUGACAUCUGCCAGGCUAUGGAGAAUGAAGAGUUUGGAGGACUGAGAGGAGCAGAGGGGGUCACAAGGCCCAGCCAGACGGACACCUCUGGAUGGCAGGAGUGGUGAAGACUCCCUGGCUACCCAACCCACCUGAGAGACCCACGCCAUCAGGAAAGUCGGGACAGAGCCAGGCUGCCUGGUGGAGACGUGGGGGGUUAGACAGGGGCAAGACCAGUGGCAUCAG